UGAAUAGGAAACAACAGGAAAAAAAAGCAACAAAAAAAAUCUAUAUAAUAUAUUCUAGUUUUCGGUUAAGUUUAUAUUAAAUUUAGAUAUUUAAUAGUUAAAUUUUGCAUAAUUAGGCUUAAGCACAAAGUGGAUAAAAGAGCAUUCUGAAGACACAUCAGCAAGAACACAGUUGGUGAUUCGACAAAAAGAGAGUAUACACCGACACAGUAUGGGCAAUAGAGAGGGGCAAGAAACAGAGGUCAGUGAGGUAGGGCAUUUUCAGUGACGCCGAGAUGAGAGAGGCAACGGACUUGACGUAUGAAAGCAGCGAUCGGUGAAGAAUUUCUAGGAUUGACUAUAUGUAGGACACAGAGACAUAGACAGACGAAUUGCAUCAAAAUUCGAAUGGCAUCAAUAAAAACCCGAGGGCGCCAGCAAAUUGAAAAAUGAAUUGCUAUGCCCUGAGAGCUGUCCUAGCUGGAGGAGGGACUGCUGGAGGAGAGCCUAAGAUCCUGACUGGCUGAUGGCUUUCUCCUACCCAUUUAUUUAACAUUUGGCUUA
Long non-coding RNA from Drosophila kikkawai, 543 nucleotides. RefSeq lists it as uncharacterized. NCBI's taxonomy places the organism in Eukaryota, Metazoa, Arthropoda, Insecta, Diptera, Drosophilidae. The record is from RefSeq and is a predicted model, not a curated record.